This 460-nucleotide ribosomal RNA is filed under the name uncultured bacterium. Its description in RNAcentral is "bacterial SSU rRNA". It matches the Rfam family "Bacterial small subunit ribosomal RNA", at positions 339 to 796 of the family's 1533-position model. The record is from RNAcentral.
CUACGGGAGGCAGCAGUGAGGAAUAUUGGUCAAUGGGCGCAAGCCUGAACCAGCCAUGCCGCGUGGAGGAUGACAGCCUUCUGGGUUGUAAACUUCUUUUAUAUGGGAAGAAAAGUACGGUUUCUACUGUAUCCGACGGUACCAUAUGAAUAAGCACCGGCUAACUCCGUGCCAGCAGCCGCGGUAAUACGGAGGGUGCAAGCGUUAUCCGGAUUUACUGGGUUUAAAGGGUGUGUAGGCGGAUAUUUAAGUCAGAGGUGAAAUCUCCGGGCUCAACCCGGAAACUGCCUUUGAUACUAUUUAUCUUGAAUUUCGUUGAGGUUGGCGGAAUAUAUCAUGUAGCGGUGAAAUGCAUAGAUAUGAUAUAGAACACCGAUUGCGAAGGCAGCUGGCUGAACGACGAUUGACGCUGAGGCACGAAAGCGUGGGUAGCGAACAGGAUUAGAAACCCGUGUAGUCC